Molecule: long non-coding RNA, 288 nt
Organism: Ahaetulla prasina
Lineage: Eukaryota; Metazoa; Chordata; Lepidosauria; Squamata; Colubridae
Exons: 2
Source: RefSeq, a predicted model, not a curated record
CACCAAUGGAGCUGUGUGGAUAUGACACAUGGGAAUUUCUGACAUAUCUCUCCCUAUCCUGACCUUGACAGGCACAAUAAAAAGGGGCCUCACGGCACACACACACAGAGUCACUCAGCCCCAUAGCCCAGGGUAUUUGGCUGAUCUGUUUGCUGCUGACUAGACUUUAUCCUUCCAGUAGUCAAUAUGAGUAGGAUGGACAGGGAUGAAUUAGGGGAGGCUGCCGAGUACCUCCGGAAAAGUUAUGAGGAGAUGAUGAAGUAUCAGACUAUGGCAUUUGAUGGUAAG